UAUGCUGGAUCAGCUUUUAAUUCAGUGCAGGACCUGCUUAAAUACUCCAUGACCAAGGCAAAUAGGAAUGGGGACAUGGGGUCCCCUUGACUCAGUCCUCUGGCUGCAGCAAAUGGAAUUGCAGGCUCUCCAUUAACUAAAACUAAGUAGCUCACUGUUGAUAUACACUCCAUAAUCCAUUUGGUGAAAGUGCUAGGGAAUCCUAUCUGUUCCAUGACUUGCUUUAAAACACCCAUUCCACUGAAUCAUAUGCUUUCUGGAGGUCUAUCUUGAUCAUGCAUCUGGGGGAGACAUGCUUCCUAGUAUAGCUUUUAACAAGCUCAUGAGCUAGAAUGAUGUUAUCCUGAAUUUUCCUACCUGGAAUGAAACCUGUCUGAGCUUCAUUGAUGAGGCUUGCCAUCACCUUCUGCAGCCUAUUAGCCAGUACUUUGGAGAUGAGUUUGUAUAGGACAGUACAACAAGCUAUAGGUCUAUAUUCUUUGACUGAAGCUAGUUUGGACAUUUUAGGGAUGAGGGUAAUAGUUGCACAAUUGAUUGGUCUGCACAUCUUUACUGAGUUGAAGAACUGCUUAAUGGCAGUAGUGACCUGGUGACCAAUGAUGCUCCAGCUCUUUUUGAAGAAGACAACAUUGUAUCCAUCUAUUCCCGGUGCUUUGUCAUCUCCAAUAGCUUUGAGACUCUCUGUUAUUUCUAUUUCAGUAACUGGAGCACACAGUUCCUGUCUUUGCUGUUGGUUCAGUUUUGGCCCAUUGGACAUAUACAAUUGAUUGAUAGCAGGUAGUUUUGGUUCAGCAGUGCCCAUCAGUUCUUUGUAGAAGCCCAGGAUUUCCUCUUUAAUUUCUGUUGGUGUAGUCAGCUUGGUUCCCUGUGCAUUGGUAAUCUCAUUAAUCUGUUUCUGCUGACUUCUGUCCUUCAUUACUGCAGUAAAGUAUUUGGUGUUGGAGUCCCCAAGUUGUAUUCACUUUUCUCUUGCCUUCUGUUGCAGUACACUCUCCUCAAUCAAUGACCAUUUUUGCAGUUGCAAUAUCAGUUCCUUCUCCUUCUAUUAUAGUGCAUCAUUGUAGGCUUGACUCAAUUGAGUUUGUAUGAUUCCCAGUUCCCCACUUUGCCCUUGCCUUCUGUUGCAAGACACUCUCCUCAAUCAGUGACCAUUUUUCCAGUUGCAAUAUCAGUUCCUCCUCCUGCUGUUGUAGUGCAUCAUUGUAUGCUUGACUCAAUUGGGUUUGUAUGAUUCCCAGUUCCUGUCGACUCUGCUCAAUUCUAAGUGUAAUUGUUUUGAACUCCUUGUUGUUCAGUGCCUUCAAAGGAGUCUUCAGGGCUU
This 1321-nucleotide long non-coding RNA is filed under the name Nicotiana benthamiana. RNAcentral describes it as "long non-coding RNA (NBEN_LNC031887)". Lineage: Eukaryota; Viridiplantae; Streptophyta; Magnoliopsida; Solanales; Solanaceae. The record is from RNAcentral.